RNAcentral lists this long non-coding RNA (1474 nucleotides) under Apteryx owenii (little spotted kiwi). Its description in RNAcentral is "lncRNA (ENSAOWG00000003391.1)". Lineage: Eukaryota; Metazoa; Chordata; Aves; Apterygiformes; Apterygidae. The record is from RNAcentral.
CAGCUGAGUCCAUGAGCAAGGAGGCACUGGGAGGUUCAAGCACAGGUCAGUCCUGAUCCCAUCCACAUGACCCCCACAAAGCAGCCCCUUCACUGCAGCAUUUCCUUCUGCAGGGAGACGACCAGAGCAGAGGGCCCUGGUCCUGUCACGGGGACCCAGAGAAAGACAGUUCAGAUGGGACUUUAAGGGGAUGUCCGCAGACACAGACAGACAGACAGACACACACACACACACACACACACACACACCCCUCUCUCUCUCUCUCUCUCUCUCUCUCUCUCUCUGUCUCUUUCUGCUGUAGGUGCAUGGAGGACAACGUGACCUCCUCGAGCAGGUAACCUCCCCUCCUCCCUGGGGUUGAUCUCUCCGGGGCCAGGUUGUGACCUGCAGCCCAAGGGAAGGGGCUCUGUGCUGGGGUGUGAAGCCCCGGAUAGGAGGCCCUGGGGUGGGAGCGGGUGGCUUUGGGGAGGGCUGUGAUUCACCCAGCAGGGUGGGAACUGCCGGGUGACCCAACCCUGUGCCCCCACCCCCUGCUGCCAUGUGUGUGGGGGUCAGGACUGGGGUGUCUCUGUGCCCCCAUGUCCCCCAGGCCAGGGGCUGCCUUGUCCAUGUCCCUGCCCUUGCAGAUCCCACCCAGGGCCGUGCAAGGGACAGCAGGAGAGUCUCAGUGCCUGUCGUCAUCUGCAUCAUCCUGGGGGCCCUGCUCUGCCUGCUGCUGGCCCUCCUGGUGGGGCAAGUGCGAAGUGCCAGGGCUCAGCGCAGAGGCUCCAGGAGGUCUCUGGAGCCCUUCUCUGAGGCCGUGUACCAGGAGAUCGACUACAGCUUGACAUGGGAGAAGCAGGCGAGGUUUGGUCGCUCAGGCUCCUCUUUGGAGGGGUCCCUGACCAAGCUGCAGCCCGAGCCUGGGGACAGCGAGGAGGAGGACGGUCCUGGGUCAGCACCAGAUGUCCCCGUCCUGCCCAGAGGUGACCCAGCAGACGGCUAUGAUGAUGCCAGGGAAGUCUCUGACCCCGGGGAGGAUGUUGUUCCUGGGCAGCGAGACUGGGAAGUGCCCAGGGAAGCGGAGGAGGGAAACAGGCCUGGGGAGGCUCAGAGAGAGGGGAGUCUGCACUCCUGGGGAAGUGAUGGGGCCCCUGGAGCCGAGAGAGCCAUCCUGUCCUUGUUCCCUGUGGACACGGGGUAUGAUGAUGCUGAAGAGGAAUCUCUGAUGCAUCCCCAUGAGGACACCAAGGCUGAGAGACUGGACCCUGGUGCCCAGAGGUUCCUGAGCCCAGGGCCAGGAGAGGCCUCCCCUGCCACACGGUUGGGUGCACCCAAGACAGAAGAGAGGUCUGUGCAGCUGGGAGAGCCGUGAGUGCCAGAGACAAGGCCCCCUUCUCCCACUGGUAGUAGAAAGAGAUGGGCAUUUUGUCUAUUUUUAUUUGUCUACUUCUAUGCCAUGCAUUGGUAUUUGUUCUUAUUAAAAGCAUCUGGG